CUGAUGUGGGGGAUAACCAUUGGAAACGAUGGCUAAUACCGCAUGAUGCCUACGGGCCAAAGAGGGGGACCUUCGGGCCUCUCGCGUCAGGAUAUGCCUAGGUGGGAUUAGCUAGUUGGUGAGGUAAGGGCUCACCAAGGCGACGAUCCCUAGCUGGUCUGAGAGGAUGAUCAGCCACACUGGAACUGAGACACGGUCCAGACUCCUACGGGAGGCAGCAGUGGGGAAUAUUGCACAAUGGGCGCAAGCCUGAUGCAGCCAUGCCGCGUGUGUGAAGAAGGCCUUCGGGUUGUAAAGCACUUUCAGUCGUGAGGAAGGUAGUGUAGUUAAUAGCUGCAUUAUUUGACGUUAGCGACAGAAGAAGCACCGGCUAACUCCGUGCCAGCAGCCGCGGUAAUACGGAGGGUGCGAGCGUUAAUCGGAAUUACUGGGCGUAAAGCGCAUGCAGGUGGUUUGUUAAGUCAGAUGUGAAAGCCCGGGGCUCAACCUCGGAAUUGCAUUUGAAACUGGCAGACUAGAGUACUGUAGAGGGGGGUAGAAUUUCAGGUGUAGCGGUGAAAUGCGUAGAGAUCUGAAGGAAUACCGGUGGCGAAGGCGGCCCCCUGGACAGAUACUGACACUCAGAUGCGAAAGCGUGGGGAGCAAACAGGAUUAGAUACCCUGGUAGUCCACGCCGUAAACGAUGUCUACUUGGAGGUUGUGGCCUUGAGCCGUGGCUUUCGGAGCUAACGCGUUAAGUAGACCGCCUGGGGAGUACGGUCGCAAGAUUAAAACUCAAAUGAAUUGACGGGGGCCCGCACAAGCGGUGGAGCAUGUGGUUUAAUUCGAUGCAACGCGAAGAACCUUACCUACUCUUGACAUCCAGAGAACUUUCCAGAGAUGGAUUGGUGCCUUCGGGAACUCUGAGACAGGUGCUGCAUGGCUGUCGUCAGCUCGUGUUGUGAAAUGUUGGGUUAAGUCCCGCAACGAGCGCAACCCUUAUCCUUGUUUGCCAGCGAGUAAUGUCGGGAACUCCAGGGAGACUGCCGGUGAUAAACCGGAGGAAGGUGGGGACGACGUCAAGUCAUCAUGGCCCUUACGAGUAGGGCUACACACGUGCUACAAUGGCGCAUACAGAGGGCGGCCAACUUGCGAAAGUGAGCGAAUCCCAAAAAGUGCGUCGUAGUCCGGAUUGGAGUCUGCAACUCGACUCCAUGAAGUCGGAAUCGCUAGUAAUCGUGGAUCAGAAUGCCACGGUGAAUACGUUCCCGGGCCUUGUACACACCGCCCGUCACACCAUGGGAGUGGGCUGCAAAAGAAGUAGGUAGUUUAA
Molecule: ribosomal RNA, 1312 nt
Filed under: Vibrio parahaemolyticus
Lineage: Bacteria; Pseudomonadati; Pseudomonadota; Gammaproteobacteria; Vibrionales; Vibrionaceae
Description: bacterial SSU rRNA
Rfam family: Bacterial small subunit ribosomal RNA
Source: RNAcentral